UUAGAACAGCUUCAAGGAGUUUGAGGAAUAGUCUACUGUUCUUCAAUUCUUCACUGGCUACCUCAAGGGUUUGGAAGGAUUUCCUCAAAUCUUUUACUUCGCCAUCAAAAUUUGCUCUGUAAAGCAUGACUUCUACUCUUUUAAAGGCAAAUGGUAUAUCAAGCACGGUCUUAAGGAAUCGUUCUGCAGAGCCUAACUUUG
This 201-nucleotide unclassified non-coding RNA is filed under the name Hevea brasiliensis (rubber tree). The record is from RNAcentral. Lineage: Eukaryota; Viridiplantae; Streptophyta; Magnoliopsida; Malpighiales; Euphorbiaceae.